RNAcentral lists this unclassified non-coding RNA (934 nucleotides) under Hevea brasiliensis (rubber tree). The record is from RNAcentral. Lineage: Eukaryota; Viridiplantae; Streptophyta; Magnoliopsida; Malpighiales; Euphorbiaceae.
CUUGGUGUGAACUGAAAAUGCAGUCAAUUUAGUUGAAUGAAGUGAAUUUCAAAUAGGAUUUGUUUUUGAUGAUUUUAUUGAUAAGGGGUUGGUGAGUUUUAGCUGUAAAUUGAUUUUUGAUCUCUUUCCAGGUUUUGUGAUUCUUGAAUAACAGAGCUGAGGUUUGAAGGCGGAUUGUGUGAGGACUGAGGAGUUUUAGUGAAAUGGGGAGUAAUUAUCAUUUCAAGAACUUUGGUAAUGAGCCACCAGGUGAGGGUGGAAGUGGUGGUGGCGGGAAGCAGCCGGGGAACUUUGGAUUGCCGCGGCAGCCAUCUAUCUAUUCAUUGACGUUUGAUGAGUUUCUUAGCUCAACAGGAGGGAGUGGUAAGGAUUUUGGGUCAAUGAACAUGGAUGAGUUGUUAAAGAACAUAUGGAAUGCUGAGGAGAAUCAAACAAUAGGAGGGCCUGGGAUUAAUGGGCAAGAGGUUGGUGUUCCAGGUGGUCAUUUGCAGAGGCAAGGCUCUUUGACUCUACCUAGGACACUGAGUCAUAAGACUGUUGAUGAAGUUUGGAGGGAUAUGUCAAAGGAGCAUGGUGGUGGGAAGGAUGGAAAUAGUGUUGGAGUGCCACCAAAUAUACCUCAGACUCAGAGGCAACAGAAUUUAGGGGAGAUAACACUUGAGGAAUUCCUAGUUAGAGCUGGAGUUGUGAGAGAAGAUGCACAGUUUGCUGCAAAAUCGAAUAAUGCUGGAGGAAUCUUUGGUGAUUUGUCCUAUGCUGGGAAUAAUACAGGGCUUGCAUUUGGAUAUCAUCAAGCUAAUAGUAGGAACACAGGUUUAAUGGCUGGUAGUAUCCCUAACAAGAAUGGUGAAACUGUUAUUCAGUCUGCUAAUUUGCCACUGAAUGUGAAUGGGGUCAGAUCCACACAACAACAGCUAAGACCACAACAACUGCA